GGUACCAGACACUCUAAAUCACUAGAUGGCACCGGACACUCUAAAUCACAGGAUGGUACCAGACACUCUAAAUCACAGGAUGGUACCAGACACUCUAAAUCACUAGAUGGUACCAGAGACUGAUUAAAUCACAGGAUGGUACCAGACACUCUAAAUCACAGGAUGGUACCAGACACUCUAAAUCACAGGAUGGUACCAGACACUCUAAAUCACUAGAUGGUACCAGACACUCUAAAUCGCAGGAUGGCACCGGACACUCUAAAUCACAGGAUGGUACCGGACACUCUAAAUCACAGGAUGGUACCAGACACUCUAAAUCACUAGAUGGCACCAGUUUCUCAUCUUUGCCUUCUGUCUUCCUCCAAGCAGCUUUAUUCAAUUGGGACCAAGUUCCCUCUUCAAUAUGAGUAAAUCCAGCAUGGAGGCUGAUAUCAAUGUCAUAAUUCAC
Oncorhynchus tshawytscha (Chinook salmon) is the source of this 448-nucleotide long non-coding RNA. NCBI's taxonomy places the organism in Eukaryota, Metazoa, Chordata, Actinopteri, Salmoniformes, Salmonidae. The record is from Ensembl.